CGGCUGUCAUGGCGUCCGGCGGGAGCGGCGCUGCCGAGGGGAUGGAGCCGGCCGGGGCAGAAGGCGCUGAGCCAGCGGGCACCGGCAGCGAGAGCGGCUCCUGCGGCUCCUCGCCGUCUGCGAGCUCCGAUGACCUCGAGCCUGAGUGGUUGGAUAGUGUGCAGAAAAAUGGAGAAUUAUUUUACUUGGAAUUAAGUGAAAGUGAAGAAGAAGUUCUGCUUCAGAACAGCUGUCCAGAAAUGCCAGCAGUGAAUCAUGUCAGGUUUCGUGAAAAUGAAGCUGAAAUUAUUCAAGAGGGAUCACGAAAGGAAAGAAAGUAUGAACUGAAGAAAUGGACCAAAAUGCUAAAAAAGAAAAGUCUUUUACCAAAGCGUUCCAGUAAGAAAGGCAGUGGAAGCUGCAACCAGGAACCCUCUGGUCCUACUUCCAUAUUGAAACACCAGUCUGCUCAUAAAACGGGUGUCACUGUUCAGCAAAAGUACAAAGAUGUAUCUGUUUAUGUAAAUCCCAGAAAACUCUGCAGUGCUGGGGAAGAAGAGCAGCACAGGCUGCUGGAGGCCUUAGUAGGGAUUGUCCAUCAGUCUUCGUGGAGCAGCAGAAGAGUGGAAAAACAAGGCAGGAGGGAUAAAGCCACCAGAGGAGUCAGUGAAGAGAAGCUUGUGGUACAUGGCUUGGUGCCAGGUAGUUCUGCAAUAAAAACAGGUCAAAUCCUGAUUGGAGAUGUUCUUGUUGCUGUAAAUGAUGUUGAUGUGAAUUCUGAAAACAUAGAGAGGGUUUUGUCUUGCAUUCCAGGUCCUAUGCAGGUUAAACUGACAUUUGAAACCUCAGUAUUUGAGCCUGAAGGAACUUCUCAGCAAGGGAACAAACAGACGCAGUCAAGUAUGAACAACCUGGUUCGACUCCUUUGGGGAGAGGACAGUUUGGACCUUCAGCAGGCUGUGCAGGACGUGCCUCACAUUGUCAUGUUCCUCGCGCUGAAACUGGACUCUGAGACAUCCAAGGAUGAGCAAGAAAUUAUUUAUCAGUACCCCAUAUCUGAAGCAUCCCAAAAACUGAAAAGUGUGAGAGGGAUAUUUCUCACACUGUCUGACAUACUGGAAAGUGUUACUGGUACCGAGAUUAUCAGUUCCUCCCUUUUCUUAUGUGAAAAACUGGUUCAAGUUGUUUACUGGAAAGAAUCUGACAAGUUGCUCGUAAUUGGCCUUCCUGAAGAAAAUGUGCCCCUUUCUCAGCUGAGGAACAUGAUUCAAGAUGUUGUCAGGACCUUGACAUUCAUGUACAGUUCUUUGGACAGUGCUUUUUGCCAGGUGGAAAAUGUUUCUCGCCUGGAUCAUUUUUUCAACCUGUUCUUCCAGCGUGCCCUUCAUCCUGCGAGGCUCCAGUCUGGCCCCAGUGCUCAGCACCAGGAUUCCUGCAGUGCCCUGUUCCUAGACAGCCUCCCAGGCCUGCGCUGGCUGACUCUGCCUCAGGAAAUCAAGAUGGAAAUUGACACAGCGCUGAGUGAUCUGGAAGCAGCUGACUUUGCAGAGCUGUCUGAAGAUUAUUAUGACAUGAGAAGAUUAUAUGUGAUCCUGGGCUCUUGUCUCUUUUACAAGGGUUACUUGAUUGGUAAUCACUUGCCAAAGGAAGACCUUGUUGAUGUGGGUUUCUACUGCCGGCACUACUGUCUGUUACCCCUGGCAGCAGAGCAGAGGAUUGGGCAGCUGGUGAUUUGGCGGGAGGUGUUCCCACAGCAUCACCUCCAGCCGUGUGAAGAGUCGAGUUUGACGGGUUACAGGGAACCUGAAGCAAGAUACUUCUUACUGAUAGUUGGCUUGAGACACUUUGUCCUGUGUGUCCUGCUGGAGGCAGGGGGCUGUGCAUCCAGAGCUAUUGGGAAUCCAGGACCAGACUGUAUCUACGUAGAUCAGGUCAAAGCAACCAUACUCCAGCUGGAAGGAAUAGACAGCAGCAUAGAGGAAAGGCUGGAUUCUCCCUCCAUCCCACCUGUAGCCUGUGCUGACUGGUUCCUUCCUACAGCACGGGAUAGACUGGAGAGCUUGAGCACCUCGCCAAUGCUAAGCAAGCUCCAGAACUCCUGCAAACCUGUGAAUGUUCCAGGGCUCAGGAGGAGCCUCUUUGGGGACACUUCCCACACCACACACAAGCAGAGCCCUCCGAGGAGCAGCGGGGGAGCCGAGCAGGGCAGCGAAGGGCCCGCGGAGAAGGAAAGCACCAAUCCACAACCUGUGGCAGCGCAGGCCACUAGGAAAAAACACACCCUACCAAACCCAUUUAAUUCAGGAAACAUUAAAAAGAACCCUUCAGAGAAAGAUACAGAACUACUUAAUACUAUCAAGUUGACAUCUGGUCCUGAGAAUACCCUCUUCCACUACCUGUUUUUGGAGACAAUGCAGGGAAUCUUCAUUACUCCAACUCACAAAGAAGUGGCACAGCUUGGUGGCUCCAUCCACCCUCAGUUAAUCGAGAAUUUCUACCAGUGCUGCCUUUCAAUUCGUUCCAUUUUCCAGCAGUCCAUGAGGAAAGAGUUGUUUUACAGAAGAAGAAAAAGGCAGGCAGUGGGAUUUUAGAAUUUAAUAAGUCAGCUGAGGACCCAGGUCUGGUGAGAGAACACGGGCUUCUGUUUGAGUGCUCUCCUGAAAACUGGACUGACCAGAAGAAACCACCACCACCAAUGAACUACUGGGUUGUGGGGAGACUCAUUCUCCAUCCCAAACCUCAGGAGUUUUACGUGUGUUUCCAUGACUCAGUGACAGAAGCUGCUGUGGAACUGGCCUUUAAAUUGUCCUUUAGCUUAGCUGCAUAGAUGAGCUUCCUGUACACUCAGGCAUCCUGUGUGGUGGUGUUAAGUCUUUAAAGCAUCCCAUCUAAAGGGAAAUGAACUCAAUUUGGGUGCCACCCAUGGGGUAUCUUUGAAAUGCUUAAAAAUAAUCAAAUGCCUUGUGGUAUGACACAGUUAAAACUUCAGUGGUGCUUUUAAUGAGCUCAUCAGUAGAAUACUUAAAAAUAUUUCAGAGAACCAAAGUUCUUAUUUUUAUAUACUGUCACUUUUUUUUAUCCUGGUCAUAACUUUAUUGUAUGAAAACACCACAUAAUUUGUAGGUUCACUGCUGUUUGGUGUACAACAUGCAACAUAAAAUGGUAAGCGAAUCUUCAAAGUGCUCUAUGAACAUGGAAAUUGGUGAUGGAGGAAAAAACAGUUCUCCAGUUAGUUAAAAUUUUGCACCUCCUGAAAAAUACAGAAUGUUUCCAGUAGCAUUGUGUCAGUCAAAACAGAGGGAAAAAUUUUAGACAAUUCCUGGCACUUAGCCUCACAAAACUAAUGGCUUACCAUUUCUGCUCUCCUGCACACUCGAGGACUAUAGUGU
Poecile atricapillus (Black-capped chickadee) is the source of this 3368-nucleotide RNA transcript. It is a transcript of the gene named inturned planar cell polarity protein, with no coding region annotated. The transcript is spliced from 16 exons. NCBI's taxonomy places the organism in Eukaryota, Metazoa, Chordata, Aves, Passeriformes, Paridae. The record is from RefSeq and is a predicted model, not a curated record.